AAGCCGUCAGAGGACGCCAUGUUUAUAGUGUAGGUGGUGUAGUACGAGGAUACGUGUUAUUCAUUAUUUUCGACUAAAAAAAAAAAAUAUAAGAAACCGUUACGUUAUUUAUUUACCUCUUUAAAGAUAAUAGAAGAAGUCUCGGGUGCUUACAGGGUGGCUUGAAGUGAACAGUGCGAUAUCUCCAAAAAAAAAUUCGAAUAUUUUCUUUUAUUCGCGCAUUCGAAUGCAUGUCCGACGCGAACGAUCUACAAACUGCGGACAUCGUUCUUUAUGAAUUCUUGUUGCUUCCUUCUAAUUUGUUUACAACUUCUUCACAUUGCUUCGCGAUUAAGCAACGCCCCAAGAACCUGCGUUUCACGCUAGGAGUACAAUUCCCUUUUCAGGAAUCAGCUGAAAUCAUUUAUAGGGGCCCUAUGUUUCCUUAAUGCAGGCAUUUCGGGUUUUUAUAACCUGACAACGCGAUCAAAACGUUCGCUUUUUAUCUUCAACAUGUCUCUGUAUCUUUGACAGAACAAUAAGCGCAAAUUACAAAUAAUAAAUUCAAAAUGUGGCCAACCCAACCGGUUCAAUCCAAUACCAAUAAUACGUCCAAUGAAAAGAACCUUCGUACAUUGGGGAUGACAUCGGCUAUUAGCGUAGCUGAACCAAAACCUAGUGAUCUUACUAGAACAAAUGAAUUGAAAGAAGCGUUAAAACCAUACAAUGUAUUUGAAUCGGAGGAAGAGUUAAAUCAUAGAAUGGAAAUAUUAAGCAAAUUAAAUGCUUUGGUGAAGCAAUGGAUUCGAGACACAAGUAUUGCUAGAAAUAUGCCACCUAAUGUCGCAGAUCAAGUUGGUGGUAAAAUAUACACCUUUGGUUCAUAUAGGUUAGGUGUUCAUCACAAAGGUGCUGAUAUCGAUGCCUUAUGCGUUGUCCCAAGGCAUAUAUAUAGAUCCGAUUAUUUUACAUCCUUUUUUGAACUGUUAAAAAUGCAAGAAGAGGUCACAGAUUUAAGAGCUGUUGAAGAAGCAUUUGUACCCGUCAUAAAAAUGAAUUUUGAUGGUAUUGAAAUUGACAUGUUAUUUGCAAAGUUAACGUUAAAAGAAAUCCCAGACACUAUGGAUCUCAGGGACGAUAUGCUAUUAAAAAACCUUGAUCAAAAAUGUGUGAGAAGUUUAAAUGGAUGUAGAGUGACAGAUGAAAUUUUACGUUUAGUACCUAAUAUAGAAAAUUUCAGAUUGGCACUUAGAGCUAUAAAAUUAUGGGCUAAAAGACACGGAAUAUAUAGCAAUGUAUUAGGAUAUCUUGGUGGUGUGUCUUGGGCAAUGCUAGUUGCUCGCACGUGUCAACUUUAUCCUAAUGCUGUAGCCGCAACUUUAAUAGAAAAAUUUUUCCUCGUAUUUUCUCAGUGGAAAUGGCCACAACCUGUCCUCUUAAAACAACCCGAUACUGUCAAUCUAGGUUUUCCUGUAUGGGAUCCACGAGUAAAUGUAUCCGACAGAUAUCAUUUGAUGCCGAUAAUUACUCCGGCAUAUCCACAACAAAAUUCCACAUUUAACGUCUCCGUAUCAACCAGAACAAUCAUGCAAGAAGCCUUUGAAGCUGGUUUAUCAAUAACGGAAGAAAUUAUUAUGGGAAAAGCGACCUGGGACAAAUUAUUCGAACCACCAAACUUCUUCUACAAAUACAAACAUUAUAUCGUAUUGUUAGCAAGAAGUUUAACACCAGAAGAUCAACUCGAAUGGUGUGGACUGGUUGAGUCGAAAAUACGUCAUCUGAUAGGUACGCUGGAAAGAAAUCCUCACAUUACUCUGGCACAUGUUAACCCGGAAGCUUUCCCACCAUUGGAACCAGAGCCAGAUAGACAAUGCUCGAUGUGGUUCAUCGGUUUGCUCUUUGCGAAGAGCGAAAAUUUAAAUGUUGAUCUGACAUAUGACAUAAAGUCAUUCGUAGACGCAAUCGAAAGGCAAGCCGAGCUAAUAAAAAUGCUCAAGGAUGGCAUGUGGAUAGAAGCGAAGCAUGUCAAAAGGAGAGACUUAAACACAUACGUUUCUCCGUCGUUAUUAAAGAGAGAGAGAAAGGUAUCCGGCGGUGUUCAUCGAAAUGGAAACAUAGCGGGCAAUGGAAACAAUGGUGGCGUUUCCCCAAGAAAUCAAGGAGACGUUACCAGUAGAAAGAGACCAUCGGAUCAAAGUCUCGAAACGUUUUCAAAAAAACGAAAAGUUAAUGAAAACGAUCAACAAGUAACUCAGGGGGAAGACGGGUCGUUAGUGGUUCAAGCAUGCGGAGACGAUAGCAACUCUGGGUUUAGCCUGGAAGAAUACAAACAGACUCUAACAACUGCUAAGGACGAAGGGCCUACAAACGCGUCUACAGUAGCGCAAGAAGGAUAUGUAUGUACUUGACCACUAAAAAGUUACUACCUCACACCGAUCCACAGAUGUUCUUCUGGGCCAUCUAGACUUGUACAAAACAUACAAAACAUACAAAAAUUAAAUGAAUUUCUUGCGAGACAUAUUAUCACAUACGUAGCAGCCGACACACAGCACGAUCUCGUGUCUCGCCUAGAUUGCAUCGGACAUUGUCCUUGUAUUUAUAAAUUUAACUAUUAUACACAUGAGUACAGUCAUACAUACACACAUACAGAUAAAUAGAUCGAUUCGUGCAUACACAUAUGAUAUUACAGUACAUAACACGAACACAUACGAUUAAACUUGAUAUGUUACUACAUAAAAAGAUUAUAUAUAUAUAUAUAUAUAUAUAUAUAUAUACACAUACAUAUAUGUAUAUAUAUAUGUAUGUAUAUAUAUAUAUAUACAUGCACAUGGAAAGACACAUACAAACAAAUAAAUAAUGCAUAUACGUAAAAUACAUCGUGAACGAUACGCAGAAGACACACAGAAACACACAAAGUUCGCGAUGAAUAAAAAUACGAUUUUACAUGAGAGAGAAAAAGAGAGAAAGAGUGAAUAAAGUACGAGUGAAAUUCUUACGAAUGCGUGUAUCUAGAUUUGUUUGUGCGUAUCUCACACAUUAUGCACAAACACUCACGAAACUACGAAUGAAUAAAAUGAUGAGAACAAAGUAACUUAAUCGAUUCGAUAUCGUCGUGUUAAACAUUUGUAAAUGAUUUGUAUCGCGUACGAUGCGCUAGAUAAAUCCUUUGCACGAUUUCUUUUCUACGAAAGAUUUAUACGAUAUUAUUGUGAUACAUAUUUAGCAUGCGAAAGACGGCGAAAUGACAAGUGAGAAAGAUAAAGCGUAUGUCGUGUGCGUGUGCGUGUGCAUGUUGUGAGAGUGUGAGAGAGAGAGAGAGAGAGAGAGAGAGAGAAAUGAAAAUGAAAAAAAAAAAACUGACAUAAAAAAUGAACAAGCAAACAUGUAACAUUAAUUAGCGUCGUCAAAAAUGUUCAAACGAAUAAGUGUUUUAAAUGUAACGACAAUGCCACACGGCUCGAUCGAUUUAUCGAGCACAUCGUACGUACGAGAGAAGUUAUUAAUUAUUAUUAAUUAUUAUUACUAUUAAUUAUUAUUAUUAUUAUUAUUAUUAUUAUUAUUAUUAUAUCUAUUAUUAUUAUUAUUAUUAUAUUUUAUUAUUAUUUCUAUUAAUAUUAAUAUUAUUAUAUUAUUAUUAUCAUUUAUAACGAAUCGAAGUUCACCAAGUAGAAAUAACGUCGGCAAGAUCCAACGUGCUUCGAACUAUUGCAAUAGAGACGGAACGAAUUAUUUAUCGAGAAGCACAAAAGAAUUCAUCUUUUUUAGCUCGCUAAACUGUACACUGUAUGUAUACACUUCUGAAAUAAACAAAAAUAAAUUUUCUCUUAGUUCCUUCAGCCAAAAAAAAAGAAAAAAAAGAAAACGA
RNA transcript from Vespula vulgaris, 3844 nucleotides. It is a transcript of the gene named poly(A) polymerase type 3, with no coding region annotated. The transcript has 13 exons. The record is from RefSeq and is a predicted model, not a curated record. NCBI's taxonomy places the organism in Eukaryota, Metazoa, Arthropoda, Insecta, Hymenoptera, Vespidae.